CCUAGGGGGGGCAGCAGUAGGGAAUAUUGCUCAAUGGGGGAAACCCUGAAGCAGCAACGCCGCGUGGAGGAUGAAGGUUUUCGGAUUGUAAACGCCUUUUGUUAGAGAAGAGAAUGACGGUAUCUAACGAAUAAGCACCGGCUAACUCCGUGCCAGCAGCCGCGGUAAUACGGAGGGCGCAAGCGUUACUCGGAAGCACUGGGCGGAAAGAGCGCGUAGGCGGGAUAGCAAGUCAGAUGUGAAAUCCUAUGGCUUAACCCUAGAACUGCAGUUGAAACUGGUAUUCUAGAGUAUGGGAGAGGUAGGUGGAAUUCUUGGUGUAGUGGUGAAAUCCGUAGAGAUCAGGAGGAAUACUCAUUGCGAAGGCGACCUGCUAGAACAUAACUGACGCUGAUGCGCGAAAGCGUGGGGAGCAAACAGGAUUAGAUACCCCGGUAGUC
Molecule: ribosomal RNA, 440 nt
Filed under: uncultured bacterium
Lineage: Bacteria
Description: partial 16S ribosomal RNA
Rfam family: Bacterial small subunit ribosomal RNA
Source: RNAcentral